GCUCAGAUUGAACGCUGGCGGCAGGCCUAACACAUGCAAGUCGAGCGGUAACAGGGAGUAGCUUGCUACUCCGCUGACGAGCGGCGGACGGGUGAGUAAUGUCUGGGGAUCUGCCUGAUGGAGGGGGAUAACUACUGGAAACGGUAGCUAAUACCGCAUAACGUCGCAAGACCAAAGAGGGGGACCUUCGGGCCUCUUGCCAUCGGAUGAACCCAGAUGGGAUUAGCUAGUAGGUGGGGUAAUGGCUCACCUAGGCGACGAUCCCUAGCUGGUCUGAGAGGAUGACCAGCCACACUGGAACUGAGACACGGUCCAGACUCCUACGGGAGGCAGCAGUGGGGAAUAUUGCACAAUGGGCGCAAGCCUGAUGCAGCCAUGCCGCGUGUGUGAAGAAGGCCUUCGGGUUGUAAAGCACUUUCAGCGAGGAGGAAGGCAUUAAGGUUAAUAACCUUAGUGAUUGACGUUACUCGCAGAAGAAGCACCGGCUAACUCCGUGCCAGCAGCCGCGGUAAUACGGAGGGUGCAAGCGUUAAUCGGAAUUACUGGGCGUAAAGCGCACGCAGGCGGUUUGUUAAGUCGGAUGUGAAAUCCCCGGGCUCAACCUGGGAACUGCAUUCGAAACUGGCAAGCUUGAGUCUUGUAGAGGGGGGUAGAAUUCCAGGUGUAGCGGUGAAAUGCGUAGAGAUCUGGAGGAAUACCGGUGGCGAAGGCGGCCCCCUGGACAAAGACUGACGCUCAGGUGCGAAAGCGUGGGGAGCAAACAGGAUUAGAUACCCUGGUAGUCCACGCCGUAAACGAUGUCGACUUGGAGGUUGUGCCCUUGAGGCGUGGCUUCCGGAGCUAACGCGUUAAGUCGACCGCCUGGGGAGUACGGCCGCAAGGUUAAAACUCAAAUGAAUUGACGGGGGCCCGCACAAGCGGUGGAGCAUGUGGUUUAAUUCGAUGCAACGCGAAGAACCUUACCUACUCUUGACAUCCAGAGAACUUUCCAGAGAUGGAUUGGUGCCUUCGGGAACUCUGAGACAGGUGCUGCAUGGCUGUCGUCAGCUCGUGUUGUGAAAUGUUGGGUUAAGUCCCGCAACGAGCGCAACCCUUAUCCUUUGUUGCCAGCGGUUCGGCCGGGAACUCAAAGGAGACUGCCAUUGAUAAACUGGAGGAAGGUGGGGAUGACGUCAGUCAUCAUGGCCCUUACGAGUAGGGCUACCACGUGCUACAUGGCC
RNAcentral lists this ribosomal RNA (1220 nucleotides) under Microbacterium paraoxydans. RNAcentral's name for it is "bacterial SSU rRNA". It matches the Rfam family "Bacterial small subunit ribosomal RNA", at positions 22 to 1234 of the family's 1533-position model. The record is from RNAcentral. Lineage: Bacteria; Bacillati; Actinomycetota; Actinomycetes; Micrococcales; Microbacteriaceae.